Molecule: ribosomal RNA, 503 nt
Filed under: uncultured bacterium
Lineage: Bacteria
Description: partial 16S ribosomal RNA
Rfam family: Bacterial small subunit ribosomal RNA
Source: RNAcentral
AUUGAACGCUGGCGGCAGGCCUAACACAUGCAAGUCGAGCGGGGUGAUGGUGCUUGCACUAUAACUUAGCGGCGGACGGGUGAGUAAUGCUUCGGAAUCUGCCUAUUAGUGGGGGACAACAUCUCGAAAGGGAUGCUAAUACCGCAUACGUCCUACGGGAGAAGGCAGGGGAUCACUUGUGACCUUGCGCUAAUAGAUGAGCCUAAGUCGGAUUAGCUAGUUGGUGGGGUAAAGGCCUACCAAGGCGACGAUCUGGAGCGGGUCUGAGAGGAUGAUCCGCCACACUGGGACUGAGACACGGCCCAGACUCCUACGGGAGGCAGCAGUGGGGCAUAUUAGACAAUGGGGGGAACCCUGAUCCAGCCAUGCCGCGUGUGUGAAGAAAGCCUUAUGGUUGUAAAGCACUUUAAGCGAGGAGGAGGCUCUUUUGGUUAAUACCCAAGAUGAGUGGACGUUACUCGCAGAAUAAGCACCGGCUAACUCUGUGCCAGCAGCCGCAGUAA